Molecule: ribosomal RNA, 449 nt
Filed under: uncultured Aurantimonas sp.
Lineage: Bacteria; Pseudomonadati; Pseudomonadota; Alphaproteobacteria; Hyphomicrobiales; Aurantimonadaceae
Description: bacterial SSU rRNA
Rfam family: Bacterial small subunit ribosomal RNA
Source: RNAcentral
GUAGUUGAUCCGUGCACAGACGACGCUGCGGCAGGCUUAACACAUGCAAGUCGAACGCCCCGCAACGGGGAGUGGCAGACGGGUGAGUAACGCGUGGGAAUCUACCCAUCUCUACGGGAUAGCUCCGGGAAACUGGAAUUAAUACCGUAUACGUCCUGAGGGAGAAAGAUUUAUCGGGGAUGGAUGAGCCCGCGUUGGAUUAGCUAGUUGGUGGGGUAAAGGCCUACCAAGGCGACGAUCCAUAGCUGGUCUGAGAGGAUGACCAGCCACAUUGGGACUGAGACACGGCCCAAACUCCUACGGGAGGCAGCAGUGGGGAAUAUUGGACAAUGGGCGCAAGCCUGAUCCAGCCAUGCCGCGUGAGUGAUGAAGGUCUUAGGAUUGUAAAGCUCUUUUCAGUGGGGACGAUAAUGACGGUACCCACAGAAGAAGCCCCGGCUAACUUCGUG